Molecule: long non-coding RNA, 4910 nt
Organism: Silurus meridionalis
Lineage: Eukaryota; Metazoa; Chordata; Actinopteri; Siluriformes; Siluridae
Exons: 2
Source: RefSeq, a predicted model, not a curated record
AGUGGGCAGGGUUGGUGGAGCGUGAGUGAUCUGAACUUCUUGCGCUCUUCUUGUGAACCCUUUUUAGAAAUAAUGUUACUUUAUUAAAAAUUACUGAGUAAUAAUAAAAAACACAACAGGCCUUCAGGCGUUUUUAUGGGACUGUCCGCUUAGCAGAUGAACUCAUUUUUUUCUGCCUUAGAUUGCUGCUGUUUAAUGAAAAAACUUGUGUGGUUCGCUCCUGCUUUUCUCUCACCGCUGAGUUUCUGAAAGCAGGUAAGCCACUGACUAACGCACACUGCGCCUGUUCUCCGCUCCACUGUGCGUGUGACAGCGGCUAACCAGCUUUUGGAUGCCCCUCUCUUGACCUCAGCUUCACUUCAGAACUGUAGAAACCCCCAACUGGAGACUUUGUUACACUGCAUCUCACCGGAAGCUUCUUCUCCUUCACUGUAUUUUUUUUUUUUUUUUUAACUCCGCUCGCGGUUCCAGUUGUAGAGCGUGUACGUGCUCCAGGUCACAUGUACACCAUCACCAUUAUGAAUGUGUCAUCUACACGCCUCUGAACUAUUUCACCAUCUCAAAUAUGGCAGUAAUGUGUACAUGUUAGUCUAAUAGGACAAAUAUACUCCACAAACCAGAGUAACAGACCUAAAAUACAGUACAAUGUAAUUAUCUAUUCUACAUGUGUGCAGGCUUCUUCACGGUCUGUUACAUCAGAAAUAUUACAUAAUAAUAAUAAUAUGACGUAUAGAAGCGCAUAACCUUUUGACCACAUUUGUCUUUUGGGUGUAUACCAUACCAGCACACUUCACUACAGCCUAGAUAUGGCCAUACAGUGAUAUAACCUGUAUCGGACCAAACCUCAUUAAAGGAAUAAAGACUGCAUGUUUAAUAUGCCUUAUUGCAGUAGUAUUGCGUAAAUUUAGCAACUUUUACUAUAGUGGUGCAGUUUGUAUGACCAAACCUCGUGAAUUCAAUAUAGACGGAAUGUGACUAUAUAUUAUUACAGCAGUCUGGCCUAUAGAUUUACAAGUAUAGCCGAGAUGUCAUUAUGCUUUAUUGAGGAAGUACAGUUGCAUAGUGUGGAUGUUUCAAUACAGCAUUGUACACAUGAUGCGACUCUACCUUACUCCAGUAAUAUGGUAUAAACUUGAUCAUACUUUGCUACAGUAGAGGCGAACGUACUUUACUGCAGCAGCUUUGUGUACGUGUAGCCGUACCUGAUGACAGUAUUGCUAUGGUAGUAUUGGCUGGAUGAGAUCAUACUUUAUGUAUAUGUAUGUAUAUAUAUGUAUGUAUAUAUGUGUGUGUAAUAAUAUAAUAGUGUAGCUUAUAUAUGGCCAUAUUUCUUCUACUUCUGUUAGAGUUUACAUGUAACCAAACACUUUUGGCCAUUCAUGCGUACAGUUACGGCAAGAAUACAAAAGUGUAGCCUACUUGUGAAAAUGUAGUUAUAGUGGAAUAACCUGUAGGUCGGUGAUCAUUUAUUGGCAUAGUUUUAAUGUACAGCUUGCAUUUAGCCAUAAUUUAUUAAACUUGUCUGUGCCUUUGUGACAAUAUAUUAUAGUCAUACAUUCUUACAGUAUAAUGCCAAUGUGUGAGCAUUCAUUAUUAGAGUUGUAUUGUUUAUAAGUGACCCUAAAUCAUUAAUCUAGUGUAGGCUACAUCUGACUAUAUAUGAUUACAGUAGCAUAGUUAUAAUAGUCUGUAUAUGACCGUACUUUGGCUUUGUUCCACAGCUGUAUUGUGCAAUAAGAAAAGAAUGUGAGGAGUUUAAGCAUUGGUAAGUCAAGUCAUUGUCAUUAAGUUAGAGUAUAAGCAGUUAUGAGUCUUAAAUUAGUACAGCCUAAUUGUUGCUAUAAAGUAAUUAUCACUAUUACUGUAGUAGAUCCUACCUGUAAUUGUUAAUUUAAAUGAAUUAUUGUACUAUAAUCUACUGUUGGCCUUAAAUUACAUUUGUCUGUAACUGUACUAUAACUUUACUGUGGUUGUAAAAUAUUUGUAGUUUGUAAUACAGAAGUUAUGUUGAUACGAGUAUGAAGAGUUACAUCAUUUUAAGAGAUUAUCUGUUAUGCCACUGUAUAAUAAACAUGAAUUAAAAGUUUAUCACCUUUUUGUUUUUGUUUUUUUACUUUCUUUUUCUCUCACCGUUGUGCCAGUCUGAUUAUCAGUACUAAGGCUAAUAUUGACUUGAAGUUUUUUUUAUAAUCUAGUAACAUACCUUUUAAUCCUGUGAGCAAGUCUUAUUGACUGCCUUAACACGCUUCAUAAACAUGACCACUAUCACACCUGUUUUUUGUUUUUUUGACCUUUAAACAUGAACACAAGCAUUCUAUCAGGUUCUAUUUUUCUGUCCAUUGUUUGCAGCACGUUGCAUUUACUUCUCUCUCAUGACAUCCAUGUGGAAGUGAAGCUUUUGCCGAGGCAGCUGGGCGUGUAUAACUAGCACCAGGGUUUAUUCCAUGAGAAGUGCACAAAAGGGAACGUGUGAUAAGAUAAACUCUGCUGAACUGUUGACCUUCCUGUGUAGCAAUACCUCACAGACGUCUGACAAAGUUUUCAUCCAUCUUUCCUCAUGUCUCCUGUUUUUCCGCUUUAUAUUCGCUGUCUCCUGUGUAGACAGUAUGACCUGUGUUUGUUGGCAGGCACGGCUGACGGAUGCUGUUAAUCAUAGAUGCAUGGGUUUGAGGUGCAGCUUCCUUUAGCCAUCAGAUGGUUCCCUGAUGCUAUCACUCUAAUCAAAAAUAUGUGCACCAGCCCAGACAAUGUGAUGAUUACAUCACUGCGGGUUUGAGAUUGGUUAAUAAAGGAUUAUGAUUCACUGAACAAAAUGCUCAUCUAUAUUUGUCACAUAUUCAUGAACAAACUGAAAGGGAGAGGUUUUGCUGGGUAACAAAUUAUGUUACAGUAACAGGUUAUUGUUAAUUAGGGAAUAGUAAGAGAAUUUCAUGUGCUGCUAAUUGUAUUAUCUUACCAUCAUCAACAGACUAGAUAUGAUGCACAGUUGUGAGGUAUGAGCUCAUACUGAAAGUACACUUUCCCAGCUGAACAGGAUGUUUUCUUUUGCCUUAGAGGAAAUCUUUUUAUAAUCUGCUACACUGACACUUGUUGAAAUCAUACCAGCAAUGAGUUACAUCUGCUUCGAAUGUGGUUGAGAAAAUAAUCAGAUGUAUCACAACCUGAAGAACACUUAAACACAGAGCCACUGUAUAUAAACACAAAGCACUGUCUUUAUUAGACUUAAAUACAUGAACAAAAGUAAUAGUUCUCUAGAUAGACUUUUUCUGGUGAUAUUUUACAGUAAAUAAAUGUUUUGGAAUGUAACAAAAUGUAAACAUAUAUUUGUAUAUACAGCAGAUAUAUAAUAUAUUGUUACAUUGAUGAGAUGAGUAGGACCAUGAGAGCAGUGGAUGGUUAAGUACAUGGGUGUAAUAAGAGAGCGAUCCUUGGCCCUCUGGGUUUUACCUCCAAGAUGACUCCUUGGAUGUCAGGACUGUAAGACACACAAGAAUAUGAUAUAGAGUGAUGUGCUCAGUGUUUUCAAGUUAGGAAGUUAGGAGAAAUAAUGUCCAUGCAUUGUGAGCCAUCCUGGCUUAGCCCAUGCCACUGAGAAGCUUGGAAACACACAGAAACCAGAGGAGAAAGGCACCCAACACCCAAAAAGGAAGCCAUGUUUUUUUUUAAUAAAAAAUCAAAAAAAAUCUUCAUAUUACAUGAUCAUUAUUUAUAGCUUAUAUUGACAAAUAAGCAAUCCAGAUUUGAGUUCUUUGGAUCAGUAAUUCAGCAGGCUUUGAUUGGUAACUCCCACAGGCAGUGUUUUAAAUAAGAGAAUAACAGAGUAAUGAGUGAGUUCACUGAUCACUCCCUCUGGUGCAUUUUCCAUUCAAGGGAGCUGAGUGAGUCAGUUAUUUCAGUGUUUAAGCAUAAUUCUCGUUAGACUGGCUCGAAAAAUUAGGAACUUUUGCUUAAUAACUUGCAUCUUUACAAUUAAAGGAAAAUAAAUUUUUAAUAUUAGUGAGUCAGUCUGUAAUUAUUGAUUUUGACAGCAGCCAGGGUUGAAUACAUAGCAAAACUCAUUUCACAACUUUAGAUCACUAAAUAGUUCAGCAUACAGGCACAUUCAUGCUUCCCUAACUCCGGAUUAAUACUGCAUCAAAUGCAAAACAAUAAUGGCAUUUGAAUACUAAUAUUAUCAUUACAUCAUUAUUAUUAUCAGGCACACUGUCUUAUGUUGAUUAAACAACUGUUUCAGAGACUAGUGCUGUCAGUGGCAUUGUAAUGAGUAGUCAUGUCACACAGCGGAUCGCGUGCAUGCACAUGAUUUGAAAGAUCAAUUCACCUAAAGUUCGCUGUUGAUUCUCCACUGUUUACCUCAACCAAGAGAUGUGAACACACACACUGAGAUAAUCAAUAAAACAGAGCACAGGAUCCUAAAAUAAAGGGGUGAAAAAAGGCGACAGAGCAAGUCUUUGCAAAAUCAGAAAGGUGUAAAGACAAAAGUAGAAAUAACACUUUAGUUUAUUAUAAAAAUUAGAGCCAUGAAAACAACCGAGUUUUCUGCUGUGUCUGCACAAACACUGUACCCAUUGAAAACUCAAUGACAUACAAUAAUGUGAUGAAACAGCAGCGUAGUCAGUCAUUACCAAUGGCAUUAGCUACAUUUCUCCCAUGCAGCUUUAGAAAAUGCUGCUCAGAUCAGGCUCUCGGCCCUUAAACUAAAGUGUUCAGAAGGACAAAGUCAACACUUUAUGUGAAAGGCACCAGAAAGGACUUUACAACAUUCACAAAAAUGGAAUGUUGUUUUGAUUGAUUAAUUUGGCAGAUGACUGAUUGAAUGAGAUCUGUCAUCGAACUGCACAUGCAUUAAAGCUCUACUCCUUUGACUUUAAAGAUGUUUAUACCCAAGUCUGGCAUAAAGACCAGACGAG